GAGAAUGGCCAAACACUUGAUAAAGCCUGGUCUCAUCAGAUCUUUGAAGCUAAGCAGGGUCAGGCCUGGUUACUACUUAGAUGGGAGACCUAGAGAGGCUCUAAUGCCUUCUGU
Molecule: ribosomal RNA, 114 nt
Filed under: Periophthalmus magnuspinnatus
Lineage: Eukaryota; Metazoa; Chordata; Actinopteri; Gobiiformes; Gobiidae
Source: RNAcentral